CCGCGCGCACCGGGCGAGCGAGCAGCGGACGCGUCCCUCGGAGCGGCGGCGGAAGGACAGCGGUGGCGCCGCCCCGGACGGACAGACCCCCCAGCAGUCCCCACAGUCUGAGGAGUUUCGGGGCACCCUGACGGCACCAGCCUGGCAGGAGGGCACCGACCACGGUCCAGCUGCCACUCAGUUGUGAUCUGUAUCUCCAGUUACUUGAGGAAAAUGUUCACACAUCAAGGGUCGCCAUCGGAGACUGUACUGCUGCUUGGCUGGGGCAGGGGCUGGGACAGGGCUGUGUGGCUCUGGGACCUCAAGUCCUGGGAAUGCAGCUGCCCCCAGGGGCCCCCGGGGGCUCUCUCAGGUGCCCCCCGAGGAUCACAAGCCCUUUGGGAUUGCUUCGUAAAGUAUAUUAAAUGUGGAAUCACAAUUUAAUACACCAAAAACUAACCUAACAGUGCACGUCAACUGUAAUUAAAAGCAAACUUUAGAAACCAGAUCGAGCACUAAAGAUGACAGUAGUAUUUGUAAAAAGCAGGCCUUUCUUUUUCACUGGGGACCACGGAAAAUGGAGGUGGGCGAAGGGCCCGCAGCCGGGCUCUGAGGUGCCGACUUCCUGCUCUUCCCAGAGG
Artibeus jamaicensis (Jamaican fruit-eating bat) is the source of this 620-nucleotide long non-coding RNA. RefSeq lists it as uncharacterized. The transcript has 2 exons. Lineage: Eukaryota; Metazoa; Chordata; Mammalia; Chiroptera; Phyllostomidae. The record is from RefSeq and is a predicted model, not a curated record.